UGAUGUGAGGGCAACCUGUCUUUGACAACCAUCACCCCACUGAUCACCAGGGUUGAUUGGGCUGAUCUGGCUGGCUGGGCGGUGGUCCCUUCCUCCAUCAAGGCUCCAUGUGCAUCCUGUCCCAAUGUUACACACUCUGUCCAAGAGGAUGACCACCCCCCAAUAAAGAAGGACUGUUCUUUGGUCAAGGAUAUACAAGUAACUCUCCCCUGCUAGAACUUCCAAAUAAGCUCAAGAGGUCAGGCUUCUUUCCUCUCUCUUCAAAUCAUCAUAGGCAGGUAUAUGGCAACUUUGAUCAAGAGUAUAACAUAAGAAUUAAUUGUUAUUCUCUUU
Molecule: unclassified non-coding RNA, 333 nt
Organism: Cavia porcellus (domestic guinea pig)
Lineage: Eukaryota; Metazoa; Chordata; Mammalia; Rodentia; Caviidae
Gene: 7SK
Rfam family: 7SK RNA
About the family: 7SK was discovered as an abundant small nuclear RNA in the mid-70s but a possible function has only recently been suggested. Two independent studies have found that 7SK RNA binds the CDK9/cyclin T complex (known as elongation factor P-TEFb). P-TEFb activates transcription by phosphorylating the C-terminal domain of RNA polymerase II.
Source: Ensembl